UACGGGAGGCAGCAGUGGGGAAUAUUGCACAAUGGGCGAAAGCCUGAUGCAGCAACGCCGCGUGAGUGAUGAAGGUCUUCGGAUUGUAAAGCUCUGUCUUUUGGGACGAUAAUGACGGUACCAAAGGAGGAAGCCACGGCUAACUACGUGCCAGCAGCCGCGGUAAUACGUAGGUGGCAAGCGUUGUCCGGAAUUACUGGGCGUAAAGGAUGUGUAGGCGGAUAUUUAAGUGAGAUGUGAAAUCCCCGAGCUCAACUUGGGGGCUGCAUUUCAAACUGGGUAUCUAGAGUGCAGGAGAGGAAAGCGGAAUUCCUAGUGUAGCGGUGAAAUGCGUAGAGAUUAGGAAGAACAUCAGUGGCGAAGGCGGCUUUCUGGACUGUAACUGACGCUGAGGCAUGAAAGCGUGGGGAGCAAACAGGAUUAGAUACCCUGGUAGUCCACGCCGUAAACGAUGAGUACUAGGUGUAGGA
This 470-nucleotide ribosomal RNA is filed under the name uncultured bacterium. Its description in RNAcentral is "bacterial SSU rRNA". It matches the Rfam family "Bacterial small subunit ribosomal RNA", at positions 340 to 827 of the family's 1533-position model. The record is from RNAcentral.